This 507-nucleotide ribosomal RNA is filed under the name uncultured bacterium. RNAcentral's name for it is "partial 16S ribosomal RNA". It matches the Rfam family "Bacterial small subunit ribosomal RNA", at positions 28 to 507 of the family's 1533-position model. The record is from RNAcentral.
GACGAACGCUGGCGGCGUGCCUAAUACAUGCAAGUCGAACGCAUUUUCUUUCACCGUAGCUUGCUACACCGAAAGAAAAUGAGUGGCGAACGGGUGAGUAACACGUGGGUAACCUGCCCAUCAGCGGGGGAUAACACUUGGAAACAGGUGCUAAUACCGCAUAAUUCCAUUUCCUGCAUGGUAGAUGGAUGAAAGGCGCUUUUGCGUCACUGAUGGAUGGACCCGCGGUGCAUUAGCUAGUUGGUGGGGUAACGGCCUACCAAGGCUGCGAUGCAUAGCCGACCUGAGAGGGUGAUCGGCCACACUGGGACUGAGACACGGCCCAGACUCCUACGGGACGCAGCAGUAGGGAAUCUUCGGCAAUGGACGCAAGUCUGACCGAGCAACGCCGCGUGAGUGAAGAAGGUUUUCGGAUCGUAAAACUCUGUUGUUAGAAAAGAACAAGGAUGAGAGUGGAAAGUUCAUCCCUUGACGGUAUCUAACCAGAAAGCCACGGCUAACUACGUG